RNAcentral lists this unclassified non-coding RNA (219 nucleotides) under uncultured Tomentella. RNAcentral describes it as "sequence contains ITS2". Lineage: Eukaryota; Fungi; Basidiomycota; Agaricomycetes; Thelephorales; Thelephoraceae. The record is from RNAcentral.
ACACCUCAACUCUCAUGGCUUGCCAUGACGAGCUUGGACUUUGGGGGUCUUGCCGGCAUAACCGUCGGCUCCUCUCAAAUGGAUCAGCUUGCCAGUGUUUGGUGGCGUCACAGGUGUGAUAACUAUCUACGCUUGUGGUCUUCCAUCAGUUUACCUUCAGUGAUGGAGGUUCAUUGGAGCUUACAGACGUCUCUCCUCGGGGAGGACAGCUUUUCAAAC